This 474-nucleotide ribosomal RNA is filed under the name uncultured bacterium. RNAcentral describes it as "bacterial SSU rRNA". It matches the Rfam family "Bacterial small subunit ribosomal RNA", at positions 888 to 1378 of the family's 1533-position model. The record is from RNAcentral.
GCAAGCUUAAAACUCAAAGGAAUAGACGGGGGCUCGCACAAGCGGUGGAGCGUGUGGCUUAAUUCGUCGAUAAGCGAAGAACCUUACCUGGACUUGAAACCUAGCNGUAUGCACUCUUGGAAACAAGAGCGCCUUCAGGCUAGGCAGGUGAUGCAUGGCCGUCGUCAGUUCGUGGCUUGAGUUGUUCCCUUAAGUGGGGUAACGAACGCAACCCUCGUUGUCAGUUACAAGUGUCUGACGAGACUGCCCCCUAACGGGGGAGGAAGGUGAGGAUGACGCCAGGUCAGCAUGUCCCUUUGACGUCCAGGGCUGCACACGCGCUACAAUGGGUGCUACAGCGGGGCGCGACGCCGUAAGGCUGAGCAAAUCCUUCAAAAGCACCCCCAGUUCGGAUUGAGGUCUGCAACUCGACCUCAUGAAGCCGGAAUCGCUAGUAAUGGCGGGUCAGCACACCGCCGUGAAUACGUUCUCGAG